RNAcentral lists this unclassified non-coding RNA (224 nucleotides) under Hevea brasiliensis (rubber tree). The record is from RNAcentral. Lineage: Eukaryota; Viridiplantae; Streptophyta; Magnoliopsida; Malpighiales; Euphorbiaceae.
GCCACAGUUAGCCCAGUUAGACCAACACGGGCACGAGCACCAGGGGGCUCGUUCAUUUGACCAUAUACAAGUGCGCAUUUGCUGUCAGCCUGCUUAUCCCCUAGCUUAAUGACACCACUCUCAAUCAUUUCCCUGUAUAGGUCAUUACCCUCACGGGUGCGCUCUCCAACACCAGCAAACACUGAAAAACCACCAUGAGCUUUUGCAACAUUGUUGAUAAGUUC